This 619-nucleotide long non-coding RNA is filed under the name Vigna radiata. RNAcentral describes it as "long non-coding RNA (VRAD_LNC004035)". The record is from RNAcentral. Lineage: Eukaryota; Viridiplantae; Streptophyta; Magnoliopsida; Fabales; Fabaceae.
GAGGGGAGGUUGCACAGAUGACAACUAAUCAUGAGCCCAAUACUGAGAACAACAUUGAAGUUAGGGAAAAUUAGUGUUUACAUAUAAUUAGGAUAUGUUUAUAGGUUAUGUUAUGGUAAUGUACAUGCUUAUAAGUACAAAUAUGAUAUAUAUGUUAUGAUUGUAUAUUUUGCCUUAUAGAGCAAUAUCAUUUCAUGACAUGUGCUUGUUCCACAGUGAAAAUCUCUUCUGUGGACAGAGGAACCAUGGCAUCUGGUAUGAUCAUUUCAUCCACUGAAACCUUUACCUCAUCCUCUAAUAGUUGCAUACCAUGACAUACAGUCGCUGACCUAAACUCUGUUCCGCGAGCUACNAGCACCAUCUCAGUAUCAUCUAAAAUGUAUAGCAGACAUGGACUACCAUCGUCCAUGUCAUCCUCUAGGAUGGCUGAUGCGGAACAACUUCCUUUCCUGCUUCUCCCUGUUAGAGUAUAUGUUAGAUUAUACAAAAGAUAGAAAUAAUUGCACAUAAAUGUUUAUUAAGUUUACCUAUGGGAGGGGCUGGGAUAACAUGUUCCUCUAUAGGAGAUGGCACCGGGCGCAUGUUCUGAAACUGCUGCUGGAACAUGCUUUGGAAUUCA